Molecule: ribosomal RNA, 466 nt
Filed under: uncultured bacterium
Lineage: Bacteria
Description: partial 16S ribosomal RNA
Rfam family: Bacterial small subunit ribosomal RNA
Source: RNAcentral
GACGAACGCUGGCGGCGUGCUUAACACAUGCAAGUCGAACGGAAAGGCCCUGCUUGCAGGGUACUCGAGUGGCGAACGGGUGAGUAACACUUGGGUGAUCUGCCCUGCACUUCGGGAUAAGCCUGGGAAACUGGGUCUAAUACCGGAUAGGAGCGUCCACCGCAUGGUGGGUGUUGGAAAGAUUUAUCGGUUUUGGAUGGACUCGCGGCCUAUCAGCUUGUUGGUGAGGUAAUGGCUCACCAAGGCGACGACGGGUAGCCGGCCUGAGAGGGUGACCGGCCACACUGGGACUGAGACACGGCCCAGACUCCUACGGGAGGCAGCAGUGGGGAAUAUUGCACAAUGGGCGCAAGCCUGAUGCAGCGACGCCGCGUGAGGGAUGACGGCCUUCGGGUUGUAAACCUCUUUCAGUAGGGAAGAAGCGAAAGUGACGGUACCUGCAGAAGAAGCACCGGCUAACUACGUG